RNAcentral lists this ribosomal RNA (2942 nucleotides) under hot springs metagenome. RNAcentral describes it as "bacterial LSU rRNA". It matches the Rfam family "Archaeal large subunit ribosomal RNA". The record is from RNAcentral.
CUCUUACUCCAAGCCACUUGGGGAAUAGCUAGGCUCAGACACCGAUGAAGGACGUACCAAGCUGCGAUAAGCAAUGGGGAGGCGCAUGGAGCCUGAGAACCAUUGAUUUCCGAAUGGGAAUCCUAUCGCAAGAUAAACAGGGCUUUUGCUCUGUUGGGGAACUCCCCGAAGUAAAGCAUUCUAUUAGGGGAAGGAAAAGAAAUCAAUCGAGAUACCGUUAGUAAAGGCGAUCGAAAGCGGUAUAGGGUAAACCGAAUCCUUUGCUGUAAAGCAGAGGAGAUGUGGAGUUUGGACCCUGGUACAUCCUAUUCUCUAGAUUCGAAGGUAGAUGGAAAGCUAUGCCAUAGAAGGUGAUAGCCCUGUAGAAGAAAGGAGAACAGGAUGAUUCGGGGUAUCCUGAGUACCAUGUGUUGGAAAUCACGUGGGAAUACGGGGGGCAUAAACCUCUAACCCUAAAUAUGUUCUGAGUCCGAUAGUGUAAUAGUAGGGUGACCGAAAACUGAAAAGCAUCUCUGUGGAGAGGUGAAAAGAGCUUGAAACCAGGUGGCCAUAAAACCGAUAAGGCGCGAAAGAGCUAUUUCCCCCGCAAGGGGGAGCAGGCUCAGCGUUUUAUUCGUCCGUGCUGAAAAACGGGCCAGGGAGUUCUGAUCAUUGGCGAGGUUAAUCAUUAAAAAAUGAGAAGCCGCAGGGAAACCAAUUUGGAUGCACUCCGCAAGGAGGAGAUCCAGGAUGGGCUCGUCCGUAGUCAAUGGUGUGAAACCCGAAGCCUGACGAUCUAAUCGUAAGUAGAUUGAAGCCUACCUUAUGGUAGGUGGAGGAUCGAACCGGUGCUGAUGUGCAAAUCGCUCGGAUGACUUACGUUUAGGGGUGAAAGGCCAAUCUAGUCGGGGAAUGGCUGGUUCCUCCCGAUACUACUCGCAGGUAGGUCUCGGUGGAGAAGGAUUUCUAUGUAGAGAUACUGAUUUGGUGCUUAGGUCCCGAAAGGGAUCGGCAUCUUGUCAAACUCCGAAGUGGAGAUCUUCGUAGAAGCCGGGGGUGAGCGUUACAGGGGUAAGCCCGUAAUGCGUAAGGGAAUGCAACCCAGCCUGAAAUUAAGGUCCCUAAAAGUUGGCUAAGUGCUAUUUGAAAGGAAUUUAAAUGCUAAUACAGCUGGAAGGUAGGCUCAGAAGCAGCCAUCCUUUAAAGAGUGCGUAACAGCUCACCAGUCUAGUGUUUAAGUACUGAAAAUGGACGGGGCUCAAGCCAACUACCGAUAUUUCAGAAUACCCGUAAGGGUAAUUUGGUAGGGAGGUGUAGAGCAUGGGUAGAAGUAGGGGCGUAAGUUCCUAUGGACCGUGCUUCUAAUAAAAAUCCUGGGAGGAGUAGCAGCAAAGACAGGUGAGAAUCCUGUCCGUCGAAAGGGCAAGGGUUCCUCGACAAUGUUCAUCAAUCGAGGGUAAGUCGAUCCUAAGUUAGCCCUUAAUCGGAGCUAGCGAAAAUGGAAAGCAGGUUAAUAUUCCUGCACCGUAAGGUUAAAGUUCAGAAGUUUUACAUCUAGAUAGCAGAAGUAGGUAUACUAGCCUAUCUAAGCAUUGAGGGAAAAGGGAGUGUGGUAAUCACGAGAUCUUUUCUAAGGUGUGAUGGGAUCUCCGUUUGGAGGUUUUCUGCGAUUUCUAGGUGUUAUUAAAAAGGCUUCUGAAGCAUCUUACGAUCGUACCUAGAACUGACACAGGUGCCCCUGGGUGAGAAGCCCAAGACGAGCCGGCGUAAAUUUAGGCAAGGGAAUUCGGCAAAUUAGCCCCGUAACUUCGGAAUAAGGGGUGCCAGAGGUGAAGAUCUCUGGUUGCAAUUGCAAGGGAACUCCGACUGUUUAACCAAAACAUAGGUGGUUGCUAGAUCGAAAAGGUUAUGUAUAACCACUGAAUCCUGCCCAGUGUCGGUAUCUGAAUCUCCCUUUCAAGGGAUCGAAGGACCGAUAAACGGCGGGGGUAACUAUGACCCUCUUAAGGUAGCGUAAUACCUUGUCGCUUAAUUGGCGACUUGCAUGAAGGACCAACGAGAGUUCUACUGUCCCUGCCUGGAGACCGGCGAAACUGACUUACUGACGAACAGUCCAGUAUCUUCCACCUGAAAGCGAAGACCCCAUGGAGCUUUACUGCAGCCUGUGGCUAUGACGCGACUUUAGAUGUGUAGGGUAGGCGGGAGACGUUACCAGGGCACGCCGCUAGACGUGUUCCGAGUCGACGAUGAAACACCGCCCUUCUGAAGUUGUGCCGUUUACCUCGUAAGAGGGACACCUAUAGGUAGGCAGUUUGGGUGGGGCGCCACGCCCUCCAAAAUAUAACAAGGGCCCCCAAAGGUUAGCUCAAGUAGGUCAGGAAUCUACUGUAGAGUGUAAGGGCAAAAGCUAGCUUGACGCGAAUAUGCUUAACGAGUAUUCGUGAUACGAAAGUAGGGCCUAACGAACCAAUGAACCUUAUUUAUGAGGGUCAUUGAUAAGAGAGAAGUUACCCUGGGGAUAACUGAGUCGUCUCCAGCAAGAGUUCAUAUCGACCUGGAGGCUUGCUACUUCGAUGUCGGUUCUUCCUAUCCUGGUGGUGCAGUCGCUGCCAAGGGUGGGGUUGUUCGCCCAUUAAAAGGGAUCGUGAGCUGGGUUCACAACGUCGUGAGACAGUUGUGUUGCUUUUUGGUGGAAGUGCGAGGAUACCUGAGGGGAAGGUUCCCAAAGUACGAGAGGAACUGGGAACCGGAGCCACUAGUUUAUCUGUUGUCUAGCAAGGCAUAGCAGAGUAGCCACGCUCUAAUGGAUAAGAUCUGAGAGCAUCUAAGAUCGAAGCCAGCCUCAAAAAGAGGUAUCCAUAUAAGAUUACUCUUAAAUGAAGAGUUUGAUAGGAUGGGGAUGUAAGAGGGAAGCCUCGGCGACCUUUUUAGUCCACCAUUACUAACAAUCGAGAGUAUGUUGA